Molecule: transfer RNA, 73 nt
Filed under: Ipomoea nil (Japanese morning glory)
Lineage: Eukaryota; Viridiplantae; Streptophyta; Magnoliopsida; Solanales; Convolvulaceae
Rfam family: tRNA
About the family: Transfer RNA (tRNA) molecules are approximately 80 nucleotides in length. Their secondary structure includes four short double-helical elements and three loops (D, anti-codon, and T loops).
Source: Rfam by way of RNAcentral
GCUCUUGUAGCUCAGUUGGUUAGAGCACCCGUUUAGUAAGCUGGGGGUCUUGAGUUAAACUCUAACAAGAGCA